GAUGAAGAACGUAGCGAAAUGCGAUAAGUAAUGUGAAUUGCAGAAUUCAGUGAAUCAUCGAAUCUUUGAACGCACAUUGCGCCCCCUGGUAUUCCGGGGGGCAUGCCUGUUCGAGCGUCAUUUCACCACUCAAGCCUCGCUUGGUAUUGGGCAACGCGGUCCGCCGCGUGCCUCAAAUCGACCGGCUGGGUCUUCUGUCCCCUAAGCGUUGUGGAAACUAUUCGCUAAAGGGUGUUCGGGAGGCUACGCCGUAAAACAACCCCAUUUCUAAGGUUGAGCUCGGAUCAGGUAGGGAUACCCGCUGAACUUAAGCAUAUCAAUAAGCGGAGGA
Molecule: unclassified non-coding RNA, 331 nt
Filed under: soil metagenome
Description: partial contains 5.8S ribosomal RNA, internal transcribed spacer 2, and large subunit ribosomal RNA
Rfam family: 5.8S ribosomal RNA (bases 1-120)
Source: RNAcentral